GUAAGAGCACACGGAGGAUGCCUAGGCGCUAGGAGCCGAAGAAGGACGUGGCGAACAACGAUAUGCCCCGGGGAGUCGUAAGCAGACUUUGAUCCGGGGAUGUCCGAAUGGGGGAACCCGGCUGCGGUUAUGCGCAGUCACUCACUUCUGAAUCCAUAGGAAGUGAAGAGGCAGACCAGGGGAACUGAAACAUCUAAGUACCCUGAGGAGAAGAAAACAAUCGUGAUUCCGUCAGUAGCGGCGAGCGAAAGCGGAGGAGCCCAAACCAGAGAGCUUGCUCACUGGGGUUGUGGGACACCUUAUACGGAGUUACAAAGGAGCAGAUUAGGCGAAGAGGUCUGGAAAGGCCUGCCACAGAAGGUAACAGCCCUGUAGCUGAAAGUCUGCUCUCUCCAAGGUGGAUCCCGAGUACGGCGGGACACGGGAAACCCCGUCGGAAUCCGGCAGGACCAUCUGCCAAGGCUAAAUACUCCCUAGCGACCGAUAGUGAAGCAGUACCGUGAGGGAAAGGUGAAAAGCACCCCGGGAGGGGAGUGAAAGAGAACCUGAAACCGUGUGCUUACAAGAAGUCAGAGCCCUAUGAUUUUCUUCGGGAAAUCAGGGUGAUGGCGUGCCUUUUGUAGAAUGAACCGGCGAGUUACGCUUGCAUGCAAGGUUAAGGUGAAGAGCCGGAGCCGCAGCGAAAGCGAGUCUGAACAGGGCAAAGCAUAAGCUUACGAAGUAGCAAUACUUUGUAUUGCUUGGAAGUAUGCAGGCGUAGACCCGAAACCGUGUGAUCUACCCCUGUCCAGGGUGAAGGUGAGGUAACACUCACUGGAGGCCCGAACCCACGAAUGUUGAAAAAUUCGGGGAUGAGGUGGGGGUAGCGGAGAAAUUCCAAUCGAACUCGGAGAUAGCUGGUUCUCCCCGAAAUAGCUUUAGGGCUAGCCUCGGGUUAGAGUGAUGGAGGUAAAGCACUGAUUGGGUGCGGGGCCCGCCAAGGGUUACCAAGUCUAGUCAAACUCUGAAUGCCAUCCACUCGGUGCCCGGGAGUCAGACAGUGAGUGCUAAGAUCCAUUGUCAAGAGGGAAACAGCCCAGAUCAUCAGCUAAGGUCCCCAAGUGUGUGUUAAGUGGGAAAGGAUGUGGAGUUGCACAGACAACCAGGAUGUUGGCUUAGAAGCAGCCACCAUUUAAAGAGUGCGUAAUAGCUCACUGGUCGAGUGACUCUGCGCCGAAAAUGUAACGGGGCUAAA
This 1234-nucleotide ribosomal RNA is filed under the name Paenibacillus larvae. Its description in RNAcentral is "partial 23S ribosomal RNA". It matches the Rfam family "Bacterial large subunit ribosomal RNA", at positions 12 to 1185 of the family's 2925-position model. The record is from RNAcentral. Lineage: Bacteria; Bacillati; Bacillota; Bacilli; Caryophanales; Paenibacillaceae.